GCUCUCUGCCCGCCUCUGUGCUGCUGAGCCCCGGAGCGCCGCCGCCCCUCAUACCGACUCUCCUUAGACAUGGGGCCGUUAUUUCACUAGUGGCGGAUGAGCAGCGUGAUGGUGCAUUACCGCCACCGACUGGACUGGAAUUAUACUAUAUGGCUAAACGUAUUUGGACACAUGACCACGAGCUUGUUGGACACCCCAUUAAAAAAAACUAAAGCUGCAUGUUCGACACCUUCAUUGGCUAAGGAGAGCAAAAGGACAAAGGACAGCAUACAUU
Molecule: long non-coding RNA, 274 nt
Organism: Trichomycterus rosablanca
Lineage: Eukaryota; Metazoa; Chordata; Actinopteri; Siluriformes; Trichomycteridae
Exons: 3
Source: RefSeq, a predicted model, not a curated record